This 253-nucleotide ribosomal RNA is filed under the name uncultured bacterium. RNAcentral's name for it is "partial 16S ribosomal RNA". It matches the Rfam family "Bacterial small subunit ribosomal RNA", at positions 524 to 776 of the family's 1533-position model. The record is from RNAcentral.
UACGUAGGGGGCUAGCGUUGUCCGGAAUCAUUGGGCGUAAAGCGCGUGUAGGCGGUCCGGUAAGUCCGCUGUGAAAGUCGGGGGCUCAACCCUCGAAUGCCGGUGGAUACUGUCGGGCUAGAGUGCGGAAGAGGCGAGUGGAAUUCCUGGUGUAGCGGUGAAAUGCGCAGAUAUCAGGAGGAACACCAAUGGCGAAGGCAGCACUCUGGGACGUGACUGACGCUGAGACGCGAAAGCGUGGGGAGCAAACAGG